GAUUGUCUCUGACAUGUGCCUCAUCCUAAACCAGCAAAAGAUUAAAAGGUUUCAAGAAGAAGUAUACUGUCUCCCCCCUGAUAUUGUGAACAUGGCCAUUGCAAAUCAUCCAGAAGGGGUAUUCUUACAGCCUAAAAACAAUAAGCCAUUCAGGGUGGAAGACUACCCAAUGUUUAUACCCUUCUUGGACCUUAAAAAAUUAGCAUCGCAUCGUUAUAUUUUUGCACCUGUUUGCCAUUCACAACAUUGGUGGUUAUGGUUGGCUGAUACAAGAAAGCGGAAAUUUUAUAUACUCGACCCAUAUCACACGACAUCUCCGUCCGAUGAGAGAAUGGCCCUAAAUAAAUUCAUUGUAAGCUGGUUUUGUGUUCUGUAUUUUAAUAGUU
Non-coding RNA from Arachis ipaensis, 386 nucleotides. NCBI's taxonomy places the organism in Eukaryota, Viridiplantae, Streptophyta, Magnoliopsida, Fabales, Fabaceae. The record is from RefSeq and is a predicted model, not a curated record.